AAGCGUUGAAGCAUAAUAGCGUUACCGGGAUGCCUUGUUAUGCAGAGCUUUCAGUAGGGGUUGUGCAGUAACCUCAAAACCGGAGUAGGCUGCAAAGCCGAAAGAAAAUGCUCAAA
This 116-nucleotide non-coding RNA is filed under the name unclassified sequences. Its description in RNAcentral is "drum RNA". It matches the Rfam family "drum RNA". Rfam says of the family: Firmicutes, Bacteroidetes (1 example), Proteobacteria (2 examples), Spirochaetes (2 examples). Terminator (Clostridia) The record is from Rfam by way of RNAcentral.